GCACAACGCGAAGAACCUUACCAGGUCUUGACAUCCCUCUGACGGGUCUAGAGAUAGGCCGUUCCUUCGGGACAGAGGAGACAGGUGGUGCAUGGUUGUCGUCAGCUCGUGUCGUGAGAUGUUGGGUUAAGUCCCGCAACGAGCGCAACCCUUGAAUUUAGUUGCCAGCACAUGAGGUGGGCACUCUAAAUUGACUGCCGGUGACAAACCGGAGGAAGGCGGGGAUGACGUCAAAUCAUCAUGCCCCUUAUGACCUGGGCUACACACGUACUACAAUGGCCGGUACAACGGGCAGCGAAGUCGCGAGAUGGAGCCAAUCCUUUAAAGCCGGUCUCAGUUCGGAUUGCAGGCUGCAACUCGCCUGCAUGAAGUCGGAAUUGCUAGUAAUCGCGGAUCAGCAUGCCGC
Molecule: ribosomal RNA, 406 nt
Filed under: uncultured bacterium
Lineage: Bacteria
Description: bacterial SSU rRNA
Rfam family: Bacterial small subunit ribosomal RNA
Source: RNAcentral